This 1117-nucleotide long non-coding RNA is filed under the name Felis catus (domestic cat). RNAcentral's name for it is "lncRNA (ENSFCAG00000044210.2)". The record is from RNAcentral. Lineage: Eukaryota; Metazoa; Chordata; Mammalia; Carnivora; Felidae.
CCUACUUCGGCUCAGGUCAUGAUCUCGUGGUUCGUGGGUUCGAGUCCCACGUCGGGCUCUGUGCUGACAGCUCAGCUCUGUGCUUCGGAUUCUGUGUCUCCCUCUCUCUCUGCCCCUCCCCCUCUCGGGCUCUGUCUCUCUCUCGAAAAUUAAUGAAGCACAAUUUUUUUUAUUAUUAUUAAAAAGAAACGGAGAGAAAGAAGUGUGCAUCAGAGGGAACCACGCAGCGAAAAAUGGCGAAAACGUACUGAGUAUUCAGUGGAUUCGACACUGAGUAUUAACCCACUGCAGACACCAUGUGAAUGGUACCCCCCGGUCCUCAGGACAAACCCAGGGAGAAAAUUCUAGAGCUACAAAAACUGCAUCUUGGGGCGCCUGGGUGGCUCAGUCGGUUGAGCGUCCGACUUCGGCUCAGGUCACGAUCUCAUGGUUCGUGAGUUCGAGCCCCGCGUCGGGCUCUGGGCUGAUGGCUCAGAGCCUGGAUCCUGCUUCCGAUCCUGUGUCUCCCUCUCUCUCUGCCCUUCCCCCAUUCAUGCUCUGUCUCUCUCUGUCUCAAAAAUAAAUAAACAUUAAAAAAAAAAAAACUGCACCUUGGGAAGGCUGACGAUCUACCAAGGUCCCUCAGGAAGCAAGUGCAGAAAAUAUGUUGAGUUCGCGUCUUCCUGCCCCUAAAAUCAGUGUUCUCAACCCCCGUGGCAUUCUGCUGGCAGAAGUUUCUCCGUUCAAGAGGCUUUCUGAUGGUGCCUUAGAAGGAUCCAGAGGAACCAUGGACCCUCAGCGCGAUGCAGUGAAGUCCUCUUUGGGGUUUAUGGGAUCACACCAGCCCACUGCUGUCCACCAACCCAUCAUGGAGGUUGAAUGCUGCACAACAACCCGAAAUCAGGAAAUCGGGUCCGGCCAGUGGUCUACUGGGGGCCGGAGAGCAGGUUCGCUUUCUUCACACAACACACACAAUCACUCUGGAAACCCUCUCGGUGGAGGAGGUUUCAUCUUGGAGGAGAAAUGUGGACAUCGUUUCUGCCCACCAGGACAGUUCUGGUGGAGGGCCACACCAGGAUCUGAAAAGGUGAAAGAGGUGAUGUGCAGGAUGUAAAAUAAAUGUCAUCAAAAAAGAACA